AAACUAAGGACAGAGUGUGUUAAGUAAAUUGGAUUUGGUCUAGUCAUGUAUCUGGUUAAUAGCACUGUUGGACUGGUAGCACAAACAACUUCUGCAUUGAGCUGAUCUCUAGAGGAUUGCCUCCUGGCUGCACGUAUGAACAGAGGGGCUGACAGCUGGAAACAAUACUCAGAUAUUACUGGAUACCUGAGGCACAGUGUUAUGCUACUUGACAUUUCUCUCCAAAUUCACAAGGACACUCAGCAGCCACGCCCAUCCGCAGCAGCCAGACUUGACCGCCAGGACUUCACCCCAGGAAAAGGAUCAGGGAUCCUUGGACAAAUGGCCAAUUCUAGGACUCGGGCAGCUAACAUACAAGAAGGGGCUGGAUGGCGCAUCCUGUAGAAGAAGAGACUGAGGAAGUGCUCUCCCUUCUUUCCAACUCUCUGAACACAAGGAAAUUUACCGAAAGGCCAAAACAGUUGAAAGAUAGCGAAGCUGAUGAAGUAUUGGAUUACGAUUCCAUGUAUUUUUAAAAAGUUUGAGUCCUUAGUUAUAAGUAAAUGACUAAAUAAGUAGGAAUUUCAUAUAAUUUUUGCAAAUACCUUGCCUCAAGAAGGAAUGCAUAGCUCCCUGCAACUUAAAUGUGGGCUGUGGAGUGGCUUCCUGUACAAGAAUUAAAACAGAAAUUUGACAAGCGCUCCCUCAGCCAAGUGACCAGAGGUCAGUGAGCAAUGGCAGGUCAUGCGGAUGCUAGGUAGCCUUACUAAGAUGGGAAAGCAAUGACAUAUUGCCUUCUGGGGCUUCCUUAGAGGAAUACCUACUAACUGCAAUCUCUAGGAAAAACUGUCUAGAAAAACUCUAGAAACGUAUCACUGAGGGACAUUCUUUGAAACUCCUUAGAAGGGUGAAACCUUUCAAGAAGAAUUGAAGCCCAAAGCUACACAAGGUGGCAAUGCCUGUAAUUCCAGCACUUGACGGCUGCAUGUGAAGGAGUGUGAGAUCAAUGGCAACCUGGACUACAGAGAGAUAGUAAAAAAGGACAAGAAAAGAUUAAGUAAGAGAGAAAAGACUCUCUGUCAUGAGAGACACAGUGACUGCAUGUGGAAGAGAAGUAUCAUCCAUCACAGUGAGCAGGAGUCUAGUGGGACGGGAUGACCAUAAGUGUUUGUGUGGUAUAUUAGUUACUUUAUGUACUGCUGAGCUUUCGAAAGUAAGGGUUUGUUUAUUGCUGUGGGGGAGUUAAUGGCGGCAGGAGCAUGAGGCAGCCAGUCACAUGCAUGGCCAGUGAGGAAGCAGAGAGAGAUGGACACUGGUGCUCAACCCACUUUUUUUUUUUUGGUAGUUCAAGGCACCUGCUCAUGGAAUAGUGCAACAUUUAGUGUGGGUCCUCUCAUGCCAAUUAACCCUAUGUAGAAACUUUCUUACAGAUAUGCCUAGAGUUUUGUUUCCAUGGUGAUUCUAAUCCCACCAAAUUGGCAAUCAAAAUGAAUCCUUCUAGAGGGGAUCCCAGAACAACAAUAGGCCAAAGCCAGAGAAGUAGGCAUGAAAGUCUUCACUGUCAACCACAGCGCAUGGUUACUGAUGCACUAUCAUGCCGUUCCCUUUAUUGUAAUGGAGGCACCAUACAGACUAUAUGGAGUCUUCAUACAGUCUUUGUGAUUUUUCUGUAAGUGUAAAACUAACUCUAAAUAAACUUUACUUGCAAAGUA
Molecule: long non-coding RNA, 1691 nt
Organism: Grammomys surdaster
Lineage: Eukaryota; Metazoa; Chordata; Mammalia; Rodentia; Muridae
Exons: 4
Source: RefSeq, a predicted model, not a curated record